This 229-nucleotide ribosomal RNA is filed under the name uncultured bacterium. Its description in RNAcentral is "partial 16S ribosomal RNA". It matches the Rfam family "Bacterial small subunit ribosomal RNA", at positions 568 to 796 of the family's 1533-position model. The record is from RNAcentral.
UCCGUAGGUGGACGGUUAAGUCAGAGGUGAAAUCCUGCAGCUCAACUGUAGAAUUGCCUUUGAUACUGGUCGUCUUGAGUCGUUGUGAAGUGGUUGGAAUAUGUAGUGUAGCGGUGAAAUGCAUAGAUAUUACAUAGAACACCGAUUGCGAAGGCAGAUCACUAACAACGUACUGACACUGAUGGACGAAAGCGUGGGGAGCGAACAGGAUUAGAUACCCUGGUAGUCC